GUUUUAAACAAGCUGUAUUUAACUUGGUGUUUUCUUACAUGUUUAUAGACUUUGGAACGGAAUUCCCAAAAUCCCAAAAAGGCAAAAAGUCAUAUGGUGGAAAUCCUGGCAAUCUCAGACUAAGCGAUUAAAUAGUCUUCCUGGAAAGCAUGUGCAGGUGUCAUUGAAUAAUCAUUGCCAUUCUAUGGUCUUCGAUUUGUGUGAAAACACCAAACACUUUUCGUGCAGUGUCAAAUGGUGUAAGUUUUAUUAUGAAGGUGCUGAAAUCUCAGAUACCCAAAGAAGGUGUGUAUUGAAAAAGAUAAAUUUGAUCGUCUCAAUGAGAAGGGUGUUAUCGUGACACAACCACAUUUAAAUAGUGGUGUAUUCCCGUGACACACACUUGGUUCAGUUCCAUUGAUGAAACAAGAUGGGCAUGUUUGUUCGCUUCUCCGCCCGCUGAAUCUUCGUUCGCAAAAGGUUAAGAUUUCAUGGAUGAGUUU
Daphnia pulicaria is the source of this 482-nucleotide long non-coding RNA. RefSeq lists it as uncharacterized. The transcript is spliced from 3 exons. NCBI's taxonomy places the organism in Eukaryota, Metazoa, Arthropoda, Branchiopoda, Diplostraca, Daphniidae. The record is from RefSeq and is a predicted model, not a curated record.